GAAUGCCUAGGCUCUCAGAGGCGAUGAAGGACGUGAUAAGCUGCGAUAAGCAAUGGGGAGUUGCACAUAAACUGUGAUCCAUUGAUUUCCGAAUGGGGCAACCUGUAUAUUCCUUAGGGAAGGCUAACGGGGGGAACUGAAACAUCUAAGUACCCCUAGGAAGAGAAAAUAAUAAUGAUUCUGUGAGUAGCGGCGAGCGAAAGUGGAAGAGCCCAAACCAAUAAUGUUUCGGCAUUGUUGGGGUUGUAGGACUACGAUGUGGACUUAAGUUGUAUAGUGGAAUUACCUGGAAAGGUAAGCCAUAGAGAGUGAAAGCCUUGUACACGGCAUGCAAUUUAUACCUAGUAGUAUCCUGAGUAGGGCGGGGCACGAGAAACCCUGUCUGAAUCUGCCGGGACCAUCCGGUAAGGCUAAAUACUCCUGAGAGACCGAUAGUGAACAAGUACCGUGAGGGAAAGGUGAAAAGCACCCCGACGAGGGGAGUGAAACAGUUCCUGAAACCGGACGCCUACAAGCAGUCGGAGGAGCCUCGAGCUCUGACGGCGUACCUUUUGUAUAAUGGGUCAUCGACUUGGUCUCACGAGCAAGCUUAAGCCGAUAGGUGUAGGCGCAGCGAAAGCGAGUCUUAAAAGGGCGUUUGAGUUCGUCGGAUUAGACCCGAAGCCGGGUGAUCUAGCCAUGGGCAGGUUGAAGGUG
Molecule: ribosomal RNA, 696 nt
Filed under: Pteridomonas danica
Lineage: Eukaryota; Dictyochophyceae; Pedinellales
Description: partial Bacterial large subunit ribosomal RNA
Rfam family: Bacterial large subunit ribosomal RNA
Source: RNAcentral